Balaenoptera musculus (blue whale) is the source of this 182-nucleotide long non-coding RNA. RefSeq lists it as uncharacterized. NCBI's taxonomy places the organism in Eukaryota, Metazoa, Chordata, Mammalia, Artiodactyla, Balaenopteridae. The record is from RefSeq and is a predicted model, not a curated record. The transcript has 3 exons.
GUGUCUGGUGUACAUUGUCACGUGCGUGCAUCCUCUACGAGUGGUUGUGCUUUUGUGUACUUUACUGUACAGUACUGUAUAGAGUACAGUAGUACAGUAUCUUUAUUUCAAGCCCAGGAUGUCAGGAAGCAAGCAUAAAAACAGCGGUGAUGUAACUAGUACUAAUGAUGAAAACAAAAGUG